UGGGGAAUAUUGCACAAUGGGCGCAAGCCUGAUGCAGCCAUGCCGCGUGUGUGAAGAAGGCCUUCGGGUUGUAAAGCACUUUCAGCGAGGAGGAAGGGUAGUGCGUUAAUAGCACAUUGCAUUGACGUUACUCGCAGAAGAAGCACCGGCUAACUCCGUGCCAGCAGCCGCGGUAAUACGGAGGGUGCAAGCGUUAAUCGGAAUUACUGGGCGUAAAGCGCACGCAGGCGGUUUGUUAAGUCAGAUGUGAAAUCCCCGCGCUUAACGUGGGAACUGCAUUUGAA
Molecule: ribosomal RNA, 284 nt
Filed under: uncultured bacterium
Lineage: Bacteria
Description: partial 16S ribosomal RNA
Rfam family: Bacterial small subunit ribosomal RNA
Source: RNAcentral